UGGGGAAUAUUGGACAAUGGGCGAAAGCCUGAUCCAGCCAUGCCGCGUGUGUGAAGAAGGUCUUCGGAUUGUAAAGCACUCUAAGUUGGGAGGAAGGGUUGUAGAUUAAUACUCUGCAAUUUUGACGUUACCGACAGAAUAAGCACCGGCUAACUCUGUGCCAGCAGCCGCGGUAAUACAGAGGGUGCAAGCGUUAAUCGGAAUUACUGGGCGUAAAGCGCGCGUAGGUGGUUUGUUAAGUUGGAUGUGAAAGCCCCGGGCUCAACCUGGGAACUGCAUUCAAAACUGACAAGCUAGAGUAUGGUAGAGGGUGGUGGAAUUUCCUGUGUAGCGGUGAAAUGCGUAGAUAUAGGAAGGAACACCAGUGGCGAAGGCGACCACCUGGACUGAUACUGACACUGAGGUGCGAAAGCGUGGGGAGCAAACA
RNAcentral lists this ribosomal RNA (427 nucleotides) under uncultured Pseudomonas sp. RNAcentral describes it as "bacterial SSU rRNA". It matches the Rfam family "Bacterial small subunit ribosomal RNA", at positions 355 to 774 of the family's 1533-position model. The record is from RNAcentral. Lineage: Bacteria; Pseudomonadati; Pseudomonadota; Gammaproteobacteria; Pseudomonadales; Pseudomonadaceae.